CAUUUUGCUCCUUCGCCAUGGUCACUCUGGUGGGCAUCUUCUGGGGCCACAUCAUUUACGGCGUCGUCCACACAGAAGGACAGUAGUGACGGCUGCGCCGACUAACCGAAACACAGAGUACUUGAAAGGUAACGCUAGUGCUCAGGAAGAAGUCCUGAGGGACCUCGACGACUCGGACUACGCUGUCCCCAACUGUAA
Long non-coding RNA from Rhipicephalus microplus (southern cattle tick), 198 nucleotides. NCBI's taxonomy places the organism in Eukaryota, Metazoa, Arthropoda, Arachnida, Ixodida, Ixodidae. The record is from RefSeq and is a predicted model, not a curated record.